UACGUAGGGGGCAAGCGUUGUCCGGAAUCAUUGGGCGUAAAGAGCGUGUAGGCGGCCCGAUAAGUCCGCCGUGAAAGUCCAGGGCUCAACCCUGGAAUGCCGGUGGAAACUGUCGGGCUGGAGUCCGGAAGAGGCGAGUGGAAUUCCUGGUGUAGCGGUGGAAUGCGCAGAUAUCAGGAGGAACACCGGUGGCGAAGGCGAAUCCCUGGAAAAUACCUGACACUGAGGCACGAAAGCUAGGGGAGCAAACAGG
Molecule: ribosomal RNA, 253 nt
Filed under: uncultured bacterium
Lineage: Bacteria
Description: partial 16S ribosomal RNA
Rfam family: Bacterial small subunit ribosomal RNA
Source: RNAcentral